RNAcentral lists this long non-coding RNA (1720 nucleotides) under Mus musculus (house mouse). RNAcentral's name for it is "long non-coding RNA chr18:34764548-34766268". The record is from RNAcentral. Lineage: Eukaryota; Metazoa; Chordata; Mammalia; Rodentia; Muridae.
GGUGUAUGUGCUCAGAUGCAGAGUAUGUGCACAGAUGCAGGGUAUGGAUGCUGAGGUGAGAGGGCAGCCCGUGGGAGCAGGUUUCCUCUCUUCUACCACAUAGCUUCUAGGGAUUGGGGCUCUAACUCAAGUGACCAGCCUCGACAGCAAGCACAUCUGUUGAGGCUUCUUGCUUAGGCUCUGUUAACCAGUCUCUUAGACACAUACCCAGCUAGGAGUUUUUUCUUUUUUGGUAGUACUUGAGAUUGAACCUAGAGCUAAGACAUACCGAGCAAGCACUCUAUUACGGGUCUCCAGCUCCAGCUAUGCACUCGAGGCUGGUGUUGACUUCCUGAUCCUCUGCCUCCACCCUGAAUACGAGGAUAACAGAUGUGUGCCAGUGUGGCUGGCUUAAUUUUUUAUUUUGAGAUAGGGUUUGUUUUGUGUUUUUGUUUUAAUUUCACAGACUAGCUUUGAAUGUGUAACCACCUACCUCAGCCUAUGGGAUUACAAGUCUAUGCCACGAGGCCUAGCUUAGAAUUUCUAGUUUUCAAAAUUAUACUUACAGAGGGGCAGGGUAUGUGUGUACCGUGGCCUGUGGGUGUCAGGUUGUUUCUUUCCUUCUAUUGUGUGUGUCUCGGGGAUGGAAUCAGGUCAUCAAGCUUAGCAGCAUCACUAGCCCUGGAUAUUUAUAUACAAGUAGAAGCAGGUAUAAGUCUAUCUGCAUUCUUACUUUUUUGGCACGGAAAGUUUUCUACUAGUCUGUGUUUCAUUGAAGUUUAGUGCACCGUGGAUCUGCGUUACGUUAACUCCCUGUUAAUGUGGAUGCGGGCAGUUUGCAGUUUUCUAGUUGGGGGGUGUAUGUCCAUGUAUUCUACAUGCAUGUGUAUGUAUGGAUAUGAAAACGAGCACUGAAGCCAGAGCAGGGCUCCAGAUGUUCUCUAUCCCUCUGCCUUAUUGCGACGUGACAGUCUUUGAUUGACCCUGGAGUUAGGCUGGCAGCCACCAAGGCUGUGAUCUCUACCUUAUAGAUUCCUAUUUUCUGUUUUUUUUUUUUGUUUUUUUUAAGAUUUAUUUAUUGUUAUAUGUAAGUACACUGUAGCUGUCCUCAGACAUUCCAGAAGAGGGCAUCGGAUCUCAUUGCAGAUGGUUGUGAGCCACCAUGUGGUUGCUGGGAUUUGAACUCAGGACUUUUGGAAGAACAGUCAGUGCUCCUAUCCACUGAGCCAUCUCUCCAGCCCCGAGAUUCCUGUUUUCUAUUCUUUACAAAGGACUUCUGUUCCUCAUGCUUACACAGCAGGCGCUUGCCUGCCUAGCCACCUCCCCAGAACAGCAGUAAAUAACUUUUUCCCUAGGUCAUUUGUGAUAUGUGAAAAUACAUCUGAAAUGCAGUUCCUCAAUUGUGCAUUAGCCCAAGGCCUGUGGUCAUGAGCUAAGUAAGACAAGCAGAAGCUCUCUAGCCUGUGUAGCCGGGCUGCCUCAUAUCUAUCCUGAGCGCCUGGCAAGGGAGGCGAGUGGGCAAAAGCUGCCAGUCGCUCGCUCUCUCUCUCUCUCUCUCUCUCUCUCUCUCUCUCUCUCUCUCUCUCUCUCUCUCUCAGAAGCACUUGUUGAAAGCCGGUUUCCGUCCUGAGGGUCCGUGCUCCCUGCCUUGGGAUGGACAGGAAUGGGAAGAACUGUUGACUUCUGUCAUCAAGUCUCACUUCAUAUUACUUUGAUUUGUGCCUUUUCUAGAGAAUUCUUG